ACACGAUCAGAUAAAGUGGGAGAGGCUGAGCUGGAGUACAGGGAGUUGAAGUUAGAGAGCGAGGAAGCAACAAGAAGAUUUGAGAAUAUUGUGAGUGAUGAAUGAAGAGAUGGUGCGUUUUCAAGAUCAGAAAACACUGGAUAUGGGAAUUGCUUUCCACGAAUUUGCGAAAGGACAGGCACGUUUGGCAAAUAACAUUGCAGAUGCUUGGAGAAGUCUCCUUCCUAAGCUUGAAGCAUGUUCGUCGUAAUGUGGAGAUGCCAAAAAGGGAGGACUGAGGAACUGUUCACAUUCUUGGUUCCAACUUCCAAGGAAUGGAAGGUGCAGCUUUUGUAUUGUAAAGACUUGUUACUUACAGGAGUUAGUUCAAGAUUUGCAAUUUAUGUUGUACAAAUUGGAAGCUAAUGGAAAAGGCUGAGUUCAUCCUCUGAUAUAUAAUUAAAAGGGAACAAAACAUGUGAAAUGAUCAAAAUGUAUCUCAAUCUUCAG
This 489-nucleotide unclassified non-coding RNA is filed under the name Hevea brasiliensis (rubber tree). The record is from RNAcentral. Lineage: Eukaryota; Viridiplantae; Streptophyta; Magnoliopsida; Malpighiales; Euphorbiaceae.